This 570-nucleotide ribosomal RNA is filed under the name Triticum aestivum (bread wheat). Its description in RNAcentral is "partial small subunit ribosomal RNA". Lineage: Eukaryota; Viridiplantae; Streptophyta; Magnoliopsida; Poales; Poaceae. The record is from RNAcentral.
AUGGGCUCAGCUUCAGGUGAUUCACCGGAGAAAAUUCGAGAUAUAUGCAUGACUCCUACGUCCAGUCGCACGGCCUUGCAUGCCGUGCGCGCACGCACAGAUGACAGUAGCAGGGAGCAUCUGCUGGACGUCGCCGACGGGCCCAAGAUACGGGUGCGUGGGCUGCGGCGGCGGUCGGAGGCGAGCGACGAGGAGAUCCUGCGCGGGGUGGACCUGGACGUGCCGCGCGGGGCGGUGAUGGGCGUCAUCGGCCCCAGCGGCGGCGGCAAGUCCACGCUGCUCCGCGCUCUCAACCGCCUCUGGGAGCCCGCCCCCGGCGCCGUGGCCCUCGACGGCGCCGACAUCUGCGGCAUGGACGUCCUCGCGCUCCGGCGCAAGGUCGGCAUGCUCUUCCAGCUCCCCGCCAUGUUCCACGGUACGUACCUGUACUACACAGUCACGGCCCUGCAUGCUUUGCUGCUGAAAUUCUGUGGCGGAAUUGAAAUGCUCGGAUUGGUUUCCCCAAAGCAUGAACUGAUUAGAGCUGAUCCGCUGCGAUCUUGGCUUGAUUAUUGUAUAUCGGUUGAUUAG